This 148-nucleotide non-coding RNA is filed under the name Homo sapiens (human). The record is from Rfam by way of RNAcentral. Lineage: Eukaryota; Metazoa; Chordata; Mammalia; Primates; Hominidae.
GCUGGGCAUGGUGGCGCAUGCCUGUAAUCCCAGCUACUUGGGAGGCUGAGGCAGGAGAAUUACUUGAACCCAGGAGGCAGACGUUGCACUGAGCAGAGAUGGCGCCACUGCACUCCAGCCUGGGCGAUAGAGUGAGACUCCGUCUCAU